CUCGCAUGCAAUCAAACUCAAACGCGCCAGAGAUAAACUUAUAGAAAUUGGGAAGCGAUUGGAAUGGAGAUUUUAGGAACAAGCUUGGAUGAAACAAAAUGGACCGCUGAAUCGUCUGUGCAAAUAACUUCACUACCUGUGGGAAUAUCGGAGAUAAAUGGUAUAAAGGAGCCUCUGCUGGACAAAGACGAAGACCCGCAUGUGGCAACGAAUUCGUAGAUGAUUUCCAUGGCUCCCAUAAACCAGGAAGACGUUCCACCAGAUUUAAACAAGAUAAAAAAGUAAAAAGAUCGGUAAUAUACCGGAACACACAAAUUAACAGCUUGUAAAGCUUGUAAAGCUUGACUUGCUGGACAAGGACAUCGUGCCUGAAAAUCUUCUAAAGUAUAAACUCCUGUAGUACGUCCUCCAAGACGACCCCGUUGAUCAGGACUUAAUUGCCAAUUUAUAACAUCUUGCCAAAACCAUUCUGGGCUAAGAACUAUUAAGUCGCCAGGAAGAAGUAAACAUUCUCCUAAAUUCUGUAAAAAAAAAUAUAUGAUUAUAUACUUAUAUAAUAAAUACAUUAUUUUGUUAAGAAGGAUCCAAAGGUAUAAUAACUUCAGGUACUAUAGGUUAUUAUCAUCUUUUAGAACCGAUGGUCUAAUGGCUAUAUGGCAGCCAUGGCUAUAGCCAUUAUAUGGCAGUAUAAUGGCUAUAUAAAAAUAUUAUAUCUUUAUUACCAGCUAUUACUUCAUACUAACGUAGAUGUUAGUUUAGAUAUGAAAUGGUCAGUUUAGCUCUAGGAUAAGAAUAACAUUUUAUGUAUAUAUACCUGUAAUUGUAAUCCAAGUUGUUUAGAAUGCUCUAAACAAACCAAAGGAUUGAUUUUUCUGAUUUCAUUCAAAAAUUCAUCCUGUGUAAGCAUUACUGGAGGUACUUCCAAAGAUUGUACAUAUGUUCUCCAUGAUUCAGCAAGACCGGUCCAUACCAAAGCACUCUAUAGUAAAAAUUCUAGAUCAAUUAUAAAGACAUACAAAGAUGUAUAACACAUAUUGAUGCGUAAAAUAUAUACAAGAGAAAUAUUUAUGCUUUAUUACAUUUGAUAAUAGUGCAUGUAUGUAUUUUUGGGGCAAAGCAUUAAAGCAUCUACUUUGAAAGAAGUAGAAUUCUUUUUAGAGACAUCACUUUUAUCAAAGGAAUUGAGAAAUGGAUCGACCUGUUUAUCAAGAUUCGCCAGGGGCACGUACAUGGCCGCUUCACGCGGUGUGUCACGUCGGAGAAAACUUUCUGCAACUUCCGGUCCAUCCUACAUCAUGCAUGGCAUGCAUUAAGGCUGAUGUUAAUAAACUUUAAUAGCCACAUAAUCAGCAACCAAAACAUAUGUUAUUAGUCAUUCGAUCAUGUAAUAGAUACAAUGGAAUAAAUGAUCAAAUAUGAAGAUGUUAAUAUUUGAACAAUAACUUUUCAAAACAGAUCUUAUAGAGAGAUGUUUAAAUCAGAUUAAAUUAUUAAAUUAAGUUUUAUAGAAACUUUAUAUCUUUCGUUCAAAGGUUAACAAAAAAUAUAUCGAUAAGAGUCUGUUUUUACAAGUUCAUGUAUUUCAUUAAUGUUUAACUUGUGCUUAUGUUAGUCAGACAUUGCAAAUAACCAAUGUGAUAGAAAAUUGUAGAACACAUAAAUAUUUACUUUCAAUGACUUGAUUUACUUACAAUUGUAUUAAAUUAACCAUGCAUUGGAUCGAUGACCAAAAAUUGGUGAAGAAA
Long non-coding RNA from Vespa mandarinia (Asian giant hornet), 1745 nucleotides. NCBI's taxonomy places the organism in Eukaryota, Metazoa, Arthropoda, Insecta, Hymenoptera, Vespidae. The record is from RefSeq and is a predicted model, not a curated record.